UAAAGAAUAAAACUUUUAUGUUGUUUCACUUGAUGAAAACUAAGAUGGAAUUUGGUGUAAAUCCAAAACGGUCCCGCCGCUGUAAGCCAGGAGUGGGCUAUCGAAACCACUGAUUUUUUCGGGAAGGGGAUAGUCUGUUAGGAUAGGUAAGUCAGAAUACAUGCAUAAAAGAUUGUGUAAGA
This 182-nucleotide non-coding RNA is filed under the name Urinicoccus massiliensis. The record is from RNAcentral. RNAcentral also lists the same sequence under 1 other name. Lineage: Bacteria; Bacillati; Bacillota; Tissierellia; Tissierellales; Peptoniphilaceae.